GGGAAUAUAGCUCAGUGGUAGAGCGCAAGCCUCGGGUUUGGAAGAGGAUGAUGACCACUACAAUGUACGUGUGCUAUAUGAUUCCUUGACUAUUCAAGCGUGCGUGAGGUCGGUAGUUCGAAUCUAUCUAUUCCUA
Molecule: non-coding RNA, 136 nt
Organism: Ciborinia camelliae
Lineage: Eukaryota; Fungi; Ascomycota; Leotiomycetes; Helotiales; Sclerotiniaceae
Source: the annotation of a GenBank genome assembly